ACUGGAGCAUUUGGAGGGACAUAUUUGUGAGGGCAAAAAUGUCAUUUCACGAAUCCACUGUUAAAAAAUAAACAGUUCACUAACAGAUUUUAACCAGAGGGACAUAUCUGCAUACAUUAGGACUUUUGCAGGGACAACUUAUGAAAAUUAAGUUUUACAGAGAUAUAUCUGUAAUUCACUAUGUUUGUAGGGACGUGUACGCAAUUAACCCUUUUUUU
RNAcentral lists this long non-coding RNA (218 nucleotides) under Ananas comosus (pineapple). Its description in RNAcentral is "long non-coding RNA (ACOM_LNC013485)". The record is from RNAcentral. Lineage: Eukaryota; Viridiplantae; Streptophyta; Magnoliopsida; Poales; Bromeliaceae.